CGGACUUCAUUUUCUUAUUUUGUUUCUCGGUUAAUGUGAUAUUUUCUCUCUGGCAUUCCAGAGUCUUCUCACCUACUCUCCUCCUUCUCUCUACUUUCUCUCUCUAUAAUCUGUAUGAUUCUCUCGUGUAAUCUUGAUAUUAACAUGGUAUCAGAGCCUCCUAGACGAUCCGAUCAUGUUUCUAAGUGUUCGUGUUCAUGGAUGAAGUCUGUAUCGAGGUUUUUGGGGGUGAUUUCUGAGACCGCUUCGUCAAUGAUGAUUUUUGUCCAUUGGAGACUUUUCUGAGUGUAUCCGAUUGUGUUUUUCUCUAUUAUACACUCCGGAAAGACUUUGUGAUGAUUUUGGACGGUUGAUUUUGAUGACUUUUCGGCUUCUAGGGUUUCUGACGGUUUGACCUACGGUUUUACCGCAUUCCGGUUGUUCGAUUGUCAUUCUUUGGACGGUUUGGGUGUUUUUCCGACCUCCUUCACCGACUCUCUGGUAAAGUUUUUGAUUUCCAAAAAUUUAGAUCUAGGGUUUGAGACCUAGGGUUUCCCUGUGUUUGAAGGCCGAUCUUCUCCGAUUGCGAAGAAGGAGGGUAACUCUGUGUCCUUCUUCUCGAUUUAUGUGUGCUUAUCUGACUUUGUAAUUGUGAAUAUCUGGUGGUAUCUUUGAUUACUUGACCUGAUUGUUGUUUAUCUGUUGGUUAUUGUGUUUGUACACUUGUUCUGCUGUUUGUUGACAAGUUAUUUGUCUAAGUCGGUUUUAUUAUGGCUUCUAGCACAAGUACUGGUGCGUCUAAUACUGUGGAUUCCUCUAGUCCACUUUUUCUGUAUUCAUCUGAUCUCCCUAGGGUACCUCUUGUCCCAUCCCAUUUUUGGGUACUGGUUAUGGAGGUUGGAGACGAAAAAUUCUUGUUGCCUUGUUAGCUAAAAAUAAAAUCAGCUUUGUUGAUGGCACCUAUGCCCGUCCUACUACCAAUGUUCCUCA
RNAcentral lists this long non-coding RNA (969 nucleotides) under Nicotiana benthamiana. Its description in RNAcentral is "long non-coding RNA (NBEN_LNC012487)". The record is from RNAcentral. Lineage: Eukaryota; Viridiplantae; Streptophyta; Magnoliopsida; Solanales; Solanaceae.